GACGAACGCUGGCGGCGUGCUUAACACAUGCAAGUCGAACGGAAAGGCCCUGCUUUUGUGGGGUGCUCGAGUGGCGAACGGGUGAGUAACACGUGAGUAACCUGCCCUUGACUUUGGGAUAACUUCAGGAAACUGGGGCUAAUACCGGAUAGGAGCUCCUGCUGCAUGGUGGGGGUUGGAAAGUUUCGGCGGUUGGGGAUGGGCUCGCGGCUUAUCAGCUUGUUGGUGGGGUAGUGGCUUACCAAGGCUUUGACGGGUAGCCGGCCUGAGAGGGUGACCGGCCACAUUGGGACUGAGAUACGGCCCAGACUCCUACGGGAGGCAGCAGUGGGGAAUAUUGCGCAAUGGGCGGAAGCCUGAUGCAGCAACGCCGCGUGCGGGAUGACGGCCUUCGGGUUGUAAACCGCUUUCGCCUGUGACGAAGCGUGAGUGACGGUAAUGGGUAAAGAAGCACCGGCUAACUACGUG
RNAcentral lists this ribosomal RNA (468 nucleotides) under uncultured bacterium. RNAcentral's name for it is "partial 16S ribosomal RNA". It matches the Rfam family "Bacterial small subunit ribosomal RNA", at positions 28 to 507 of the family's 1533-position model. The record is from RNAcentral.